GGGCCUCUAGCUCAACGGUAGAGCAGUUGACUCUUAAUCAAUUGGUUCGGGGUUCGAAUCCCCGGGGGCCCACCA
RNAcentral lists this transfer RNA (75 nucleotides) under Chloroflexota bacterium. Its description in RNAcentral is "Chloroflexi bacterium (hot springs metagenome) tRNA-Lys". It matches the Rfam family "tRNA". From Rfam's summary of the family: Transfer RNA (tRNA) molecules are approximately 80 nucleotides in length. Their secondary structure includes four short double-helical elements and three loops (D, anti-codon, and T loops). Further hydrogen bonds mediate the characteristic L-shaped molecular structure. tRNAs have two regions of fundamental functional importance: the anti-codon, which is responsible for specific mRNA codon recognition, and the 3' end, to which the tRNAs corresponding amino acid is attached (by aminoacyl-tRNA synthetases). tRNAs cope with the degeneracy of the genetic code in two manners: having more than one tRNA (with a specific anti-codon) for a particular amino acid; and 'wobble' base-pairing, i.e. permitting non-standard base-pairing at the 3rd anti-codon position. The record is from RNAcentral. Lineage: Bacteria; Bacillati; Chloroflexota.